Molecule: ribosomal RNA, 330 nt
Filed under: uncultured bacterium
Lineage: Bacteria
Description: bacterial SSU rRNA
Rfam family: Bacterial small subunit ribosomal RNA
Source: RNAcentral
UUCGUAGGCGGUGCGGCAAGUCGGGAGUGAAAUCUCUGGGCUUAACUCAGGGGCUGCUCCUGAAACUGCCGUGCUCGAGUGCGGGAGAGGCGAGUGGAAUUGCAGGUGUAGCGGUGAAAUGCGUAGAUAUCUGCAGGAACACCCGUGGCGAAGGCGGCUCGCUGGACCGCAACUGACGCUGAGGAACGAAAGCUAGGGGAGCAAACAGGAUUAGAUACCCUGGUAGUCCUAGCCCUAAACCAUCAGGACUUGGGGUGCAUCCCGUUCGGGGUGCGUCCCGGAGCUAACGCGUUAAGUCCUGCGCCUGGGGAGUACGGUCGCAAGGCUGAA